GAUUUACUGGGUGUAAAGGGUGCGUAGAGGGUUUCGUAAGUGUGAAGUGAAAGCCCCGGGCUCAACUGCGGGACGGCUCUUGAUACUGUUAGUCUUGAGUGAUGGAGGGGUAACCGGAAUUCCCA
This 125-nucleotide ribosomal RNA is filed under the name Campylobacter jejuni. RNAcentral describes it as "partial 16S ribosomal RNA". Lineage: Bacteria; Pseudomonadati; Campylobacterota; Epsilonproteobacteria; Campylobacterales; Campylobacteraceae. The record is from RNAcentral.